RNAcentral lists this ribosomal RNA (760 nucleotides) under Xenophrys minor (tiny spadefoot toad). Its description in RNAcentral is "partial 12S ribosomal RNA". It matches the Rfam family "Bacterial small subunit ribosomal RNA", at positions 200 to 1404 of the family's 1533-position model. Lineage: Eukaryota; Metazoa; Chordata; Amphibia; Anura; Megophryidae. The record is from RNAcentral.
GUGAAAAUGCCCUCUUACUCCCCACAAAGAGCUAGAGGAGCCGGUAUCAGGCUCAAUAUGCCCAUGACACCUAGCCCAGCCACACCCCCAAGGGUAUUCAGCAGUGAUCAACAUUGAAAACUAGCGAAAGCUAAAUUCAGUUACUAGCUAAAAAAACCGGUCAAUCUCGUGCCAGCCACCGCGGUUAUACGGGCAGGUUUAAAUUGAUAACAUCGGCUCAAAGCGUGGUUAGAUUCUCACUCAAAUAAAGCAAAAAUGAAGCCCGGCUGUGAUAUGCUUUCGCUUUAAAUAACCUCAAUCACGAAAGUAGCUUUACUCUAAUUGAACCCACGAUCGCUAGGACACAAACUGGGAUUAGAUACCCCACUAUGCCUAGCCCUAAACUUUGACACUUCCGCCUGGGAACUACGAGCGUUAGCUUAAAACCCAAAAGACUUGGCGGUGCCCUAUACCACCUAGAGGAGCCUGUUCUAUAAUCGAUAAUCCCCGAUUCACCUCACCACCUCUUGCCAAUACCGCCUGUAUACCUCCGUCGCCAACUGACCCCUCAAGGGUCGUAGUCGGUUAAAUGGCCUUCUUCCAAUAAGUCAGGUCAAGGUGCAGCGAAUGAGGUGGGAAGCAAUGGGCUACAUUUUCUACUAUUAGACUAUACGAAAGAUCACUAUGAAAUCUGAUUGGAAGGUGGAUUUAGCAGUAAAAAGAGACUAGAGUGCUCUUUUUAAGUUGGCUCUAGGGCGCGCACACACCGCCCGUCACCCCC